This 275-nucleotide signal recognition particle RNA is filed under the name Nanobdellota archaeon. RNAcentral's name for it is "signal recognition particle sRNA". It matches the Rfam family "Archaeal signal recognition particle RNA". The record is from RNAcentral. Lineage: Archaea; Nanobdellati; Nanobdellota.
AUGUAGACUAGACUGGGAAUUUAGCCCUAUUCCUGUAAUCGCAAACGGGCUUUACGGCGAAGUCGAAGCCUAAGGAGAGGUAUAAAGUUUGGUUAUUGGUCUUGGUUUGGACUGUGAAGCUUUGUCCUGUAGGGUCAAUGUUUUUGAGAACCAGGUCAGAUUAGGAAUAAAGCAGCCUUAAUCUUUUAUGUUGGCGCUUAUAGGGUUGCAGAGCCAAGAAAGAAUCAAGGUAGCUGGUAGCUGGAUUUUAUAUCCAUCUUUGGGCGCGUCUACAC